UACGUAGGGUCCGAGCGUUGUCCGGAAUUAUUGGGCGUAAAGGGCUCGUAGGCGGUUUGUCGCGUCUGGUGUGAAAAUCCAGGGCUUAACCCUGGACCUGCAUCGGGUACGGGCAGACUAGAGUGCGGUAGGGGAGAUCGGAAUUCCUGGUGUAGCGGUGAAAUGCGCAGAUAUCAGGAGGAACACCGGUGGCGAAGGCGGAUCUCUGGGCCGUAACUGACGCUGAGGAGCGAAAGCAUGGGGAGCGAACAGG
This 253-nucleotide ribosomal RNA is filed under the name uncultured bacterium. RNAcentral describes it as "partial 16S ribosomal RNA". It matches the Rfam family "Bacterial small subunit ribosomal RNA", at positions 524 to 776 of the family's 1533-position model. The record is from RNAcentral.